Molecule: non-coding RNA, 22 nt
Filed under: Rattus norvegicus (Norway rat)
Lineage: Eukaryota; Metazoa; Chordata; Mammalia; Rodentia; Muridae
Source: RNAcentral
GUUGUUGACACCACGGGCAGAC